AUGCAGCCAUGCCGCGUGUGUGAAGAAGGCCUUCGGGUUGUAAAGCACUUUCAGCGGGGAGGAAGGCGGUGAGGUUAAUAACCUCAUCGAUUGACGUUACCCGCAGAAGAAGCACCGGCUAACUCCGUGCCAGCAGCCGCGGUAAUACGGAGGGUGCAAGCGUUAAUCGGAAUUACUGGGCGUAAAGCGCACGCAGGCGGUCUGUCAAGUCGGAUGUGAAAUCCCCGGGCUCAACCUGGGAACUGCAUUCGAAACUGGCAGGCUAGAGUCUUGUAGAGGGGGGUAGAAUUCCAGGUGUAGCGGUGAAAUGCGUAGAGAUCUGGAGGAAUACCGGUGGCGAAGGCGGCCCCCUGGACAAAGACUGACGCUCAGGUGCGAAAGCGUGGGGAGCAAACAGGAUUAGAUACCCUGGUAGUCCACGCUGUAAACGAUGUCGAUUUGGAGGUUGUGCCCUUGAGGCGUGGCUUCCGGAGCUAACGCGUUAAAUCGACCGCCUGGGGAGUACGGCCGCAAGGUUAAAACUCAAAUGAAUUGACGGGGGCCCGCACAAGCGGUGGAGCAUGUGGUUUAAUUCGAUGCAACGCGAAGAACCUUACCUGGUCUUGACAUCCACAGAACUUUCCAGAGAUGGAUUGGUGCCUUCGGGAACUGUGAGACAGGUGCUGCAUGGCUGUCGUCAGCUCGUGUUGUGAAAUGUUGGGUUAAGUCCCGCAACGAGCGCAACCCUUAUCCUUUGUUGCCAGCGGUCCGGCCGGGAACUCAAAGGAGACUGCCAGUGAUAAACUGGAGGAGGGUGGGGGAUGACGUCAAGUCAUCAUGGCCCUUACGACCAGGGCUACACACGUGCUACAAUGGCAUAUACAAAGAGAAGCGACCUCGCGAGAGCAAGCGGACCUCAUAAAGUAUGUCGUAAUCCGGAUUGGAGUCUGCAACUCGACUCCAUGAGUCGGAUCGCUAGUAAUCGUAGAUCAGAAUGCUACGGUGAAUACGUUCCC
Molecule: ribosomal RNA, 995 nt
Filed under: Klebsiella sp.
Lineage: Bacteria; Pseudomonadati; Pseudomonadota; Gammaproteobacteria; Enterobacterales; Enterobacteriaceae
Description: bacterial SSU rRNA
Rfam family: Bacterial small subunit ribosomal RNA
Source: RNAcentral